Molecule: ribosomal RNA, 397 nt
Filed under: uncultured bacterium
Lineage: Bacteria
Description: bacterial SSU rRNA
Rfam family: Bacterial small subunit ribosomal RNA
Source: RNAcentral
UAUUGCACAAUGGGGGAAACCCUGAUGCAGCGACGCCGCGUGAGUGAGGAAGUAUCUCGGUACGUAAAGCUCUAUCAGCAGGAAAGAAAAUGACGGUACCUGACUAAGAAGCCCCGGCUAACUACGUGCCAGCAGCCGCGGUAAUACGUAGGGGGCAAGCGUUAUCAGGAUUUACUGGGUGUAAAGGGAGCGUAGACGGCAGUGCAAGUCUGGAGUGAAAUGCCGGGGCUCAACCCCGGAAUUGCUUUGGAAACUGUGCAGCUAGAGUGCGGGAGAGGUAAGCGGAAUUCCUAGUGUAGCGGUGAAAUGCGUAGAUAUUAGGAGGAACACCAGUGGCGAAGGCGGCUUACUGGACCGUAACUGACGUUGAGGCUCGAAAGCGUGGGGAGCAAACAGG